GUGGGAGGGGGCUUGCUCCCGAUAGCGGUGGUUCAGCUAAGUACUUCUUGGCUGACACACUGCAAUCGGGAGCAAGCCCCCUCCCAC
Molecule: unclassified non-coding RNA, 87 nt
Filed under: Pseudomonas palleroniana
Lineage: Bacteria; Pseudomonadati; Pseudomonadota; Gammaproteobacteria; Pseudomonadales; Pseudomonadaceae
Source: RNAcentral